RNAcentral lists this non-coding RNA (290 nucleotides) under Terrisporobacter mayombei. Its description in RNAcentral is "T-box". It matches the Rfam family "T-box leader". From Rfam's summary of the family: Uncharged tRNA acts as the effector for transcription antitermination of genes in the T-box leader family. T-boxes are found upstream of many aminoacyl-tRNA synthetase genes and some amino acid biosynthetic genes usually in Gram-positive bacteria. The anticodon of a specific tRNA base pairs to a specifier sequence within the T-box motif, and the NCCA acceptor tail of the tRNA base pairs to a conserved bulge in the T-box antiterminator hairpin. Lineage: Bacteria; Bacillati; Bacillota; Clostridia; Peptostreptococcales; Peptostreptococcaceae. The record is from RNAcentral.
UUAAAUUCGAUGAAAAAGAAAGUAGAUAUAAUUCAUGUUUCAGCGAGCUAGGGUUGGUGGAAGCCUGGCAACAAUGUUUGUAUUGAAGAGAGCUUUGGAGAAGAAUAUCUGAAUUAAUAGUAGGAUAUUAGGUAUGUCCCGCCUUAAGGGAUUAGAGUGGAUAAGUUUUAUUCGCAGCAAAUUUUGAGCAACGGAUUUGUCUGAAGCGGUAGCGAAGACAUAUCGUUGGCGAUAUGAGCAAAGCGAAUUUUAUCAAUUAGAGUGGUAACGCGGAAUAUUUCGUCUCUUGG